UGCAGUGGCGGACGGGUGAGUAUCGCGUAGGGAUUUAUCGUUGGGUGGGGGAUAACCGCGGGAAACUGCGGCUAAUACCGCAUGACGCCUGUGGGCCAAAGCAGAGAUGCGCCCGAUGAGGAGCCUGCGUUCGAUUAGCUAGUUGGUUGGGUAAUGGCUGACCAAGGCGAUGAUCGAUAGCUGGUCUGAGAGGAUGAUCAGCCACACUGGGACUGAGACACGGCCCAGACUCCUACGGGAGGCAGCAGUGGGGAAUAUUGGACAAUGGGCGCAAGCCUGAUCCAGCAAUGCCGCGUGGAUGAAGAAGGUCUUCGGAUUGUAGAGUCCUUUCGGCGGGGACGAUGAUGACGGUACCCGCAGAAGAAGCCCCGGCUAACUUCGUGCCAGCAGCCGCGGUAAUACGAAGGGGGCUAGCGUUGCUCGGAAUGACUGGGCGUAAAGGGCGCGUAGGCGGACAUAUUAGUCAGGCGUGAAAUUCCUGGGCUUAACCUGGGGGCUGCGUUUGAUACGGUGUGUCUUGAGUGGGGAAGAGGGUCGUGGAAUUCCCAGUGUAGAGGUGAAAUUCGUAGAUAUUGGGAAGAACACCGGUGGCGAAGGCGGCGACCUGGUCCUUGACUGACGCUGAGGCGCGAAAGCGUGGGGAGCAAACA
RNAcentral lists this ribosomal RNA (650 nucleotides) under uncultured bacterium. RNAcentral describes it as "bacterial SSU rRNA". It matches the Rfam family "Bacterial small subunit ribosomal RNA", at positions 91 to 774 of the family's 1533-position model. The record is from RNAcentral.